This 445-nucleotide ribosomal RNA is filed under the name fungal sp. tuti-18. Its description in RNAcentral is "eukaryotic LSU rRNA". The stretch from base 125 to 278 matches the Rfam family "5.8S ribosomal RNA". The record is from RNAcentral. Lineage: Eukaryota; Fungi.
CAUACCUGUUUUGUUGCUUCGGCGGUGCCCUCGCUCUCGCGGCGAGGCCCGCCAGAGGACCCAAACAAACUCUUUGACUUUGAUCUAGGAUUAUACUUCUGAGUGAUACAAAAAAUAAAAUCAAAACUUUCAACAACGGAUCUCUUGGUUCUGGCAUCGAUGAAGAACGCAGCGAAAUGCGAUAAGUAAUGUGAAUUGCAGAAUUCAGUGAAUCAUCGAAUCUUUGAACGCACAUUGCGCCCGCCAGUAUUCUGGCGGGCAUGCCUGUUCGAGCGUCAUUUCAACCCUCAAGCUCCGGCUUGGUGUUGGGGAUCGGCAGCCCGGCUUCGCGCCGAUGCCGUCCCCCAAAAGCAGUGGCGGUCACGCUGCAGCCUCCUAUGCGUAGUAGCACACCUCGCACUGGAGAGCAGCGCGGCCACGCCGUAAAACCCCCUACUUUUUGUGG